RNAcentral lists this ribosomal RNA (498 nucleotides) under uncultured bacterium. RNAcentral's name for it is "partial 16S ribosomal RNA". It matches the Rfam family "Bacterial small subunit ribosomal RNA", at positions 30 to 523 of the family's 1533-position model. The record is from RNAcentral.
ACUGAACGCUGGCGGCAUGCCUUACACAUGCAAGUCGAACGGUAACGCGGGGCAACCUGGCGACGAGUGGCGAACGGGUGAGUAACGCAUCGGAACGUGCCCAGUAGUGGGGGAUAGCCCGGCGAAAGCCGGAUUAAUACCGCAUACGACCUACGGGUGAACGGGGGGGAUCGCAAGACCUCUCGCUAUUGGAGCGGCCGAUGUCAGAUUAGGUAGUUGGUGGGGUAAAGGCCCACCAAGCCUUCGAUCUGUAGCUGGUCUGAGAGGACGACCAGCCACACUGGGACUGAGACACGGCCCAGACUCCUACGGGAGGCAGCAGUGGGGAAUUUUGGACAAUGGGCGCAAGCCUGAUCCAGCCAUGCCGCGUGCGGGAAGAAGGCCUUCGGGUUGUAAACCGCUUUUGUCAGGGAAGAAACGCUCUGGGCUAAUACCCCGGGGUAAUGACGGUACCUGAAGAAUAAGCACCGGCUAACUACGUGCCAGCAGCCGCCGCGG